RNAcentral lists this ribosomal RNA (487 nucleotides) under Escherichia sp. FHM102. RNAcentral describes it as "bacterial SSU rRNA". It matches the Rfam family "Bacterial small subunit ribosomal RNA", at positions 869 to 1356 of the family's 1533-position model. Lineage: Bacteria; Pseudomonadati; Pseudomonadota; Gammaproteobacteria; Enterobacterales; Enterobacteriaceae. The record is from RNAcentral.
CCGCCUGGGGAGUACGGCCGCAAGGUUAAAACUCAAAUGAAUUGACGGGGGCCCGCACAAGCGGUGGAGCAUGUGGUUUAAUUCGAUGCAACGCGAAGAACCUUACCUGGUCUUGACAUCCACGGAAGUUUUCAGAGAUGAGAAUGUGCCUUCGGGAACCGUGAGACAGGUGCUGCAUGGCUGUCGUCAGCUCGUGUUGUGAAAUGUUGGGUUAAGUCCCGCAACGAGCGCAACCCUUAUCCUUUGUUGCCAGCGGUCCGGCCGGGAACUCAAAGGAGACUGCCAGUGAUAAACUGGAGGAAGGUGGGGAUGACGUCAAGUCAUCAUGGCCCUUACGACCAGGGCUACACACGUGCUACAAUGGCGCAUACAAAGAGAAGCGACCUCGCGAGAGCAAGCGGACCUCAUAAAGUGCGUCGUAGUCCGGAUUGGAGUCUGCAACUCGACUCCAUGAAGUCGGAAUCGCUAGUAAUCGUGGAUCAGAAUG